GACGAACGCUGGCGGCGUGCCUAAUACAUGCAAGUAGAACGCUGAAGGAGGAGCUUGCUUCUCUGGAUGAGUUGCGAACGGGUGAGUAACGCGUAGGUAACCUGCCUGGUAGCGGGGGAUAACUAUUGGAAACGAUAGCUAAUACCGCAUAAGAGUAGAUGUUGCAUGACAUUUGCUUAAAAGGUGCAAUUGCAUCACUACCAGAUGGACCUGCGUUGUAUUAGCUAGUUGGUGAGGUAACGGCUCACCAAGGCAACGAUACAUAGCCGACCUGAGAGGGUGAUCGGCCUCACUGGGACUGAGACACGGCCCAGACUCCUACGGGAGGCAGCAGUAGGGAAUCUUCGGCAAUGGACGGAAGUCUGACCGAGCAACGCCGCGUGAGUGAAGAAGGUUUUCGGAUCGUAAAGCUCUGUUGUAAGAGAAGAACGAGUGUGAGAGUGGAAAGUUCACACUGUGACGGUAUCUUACCAGAAAGGGACGGCUAACUACGUG
RNAcentral lists this ribosomal RNA (495 nucleotides) under uncultured bacterium. RNAcentral describes it as "partial 16S ribosomal RNA". It matches the Rfam family "Bacterial small subunit ribosomal RNA", at positions 28 to 507 of the family's 1533-position model. The record is from RNAcentral.